Molecule: microRNA precursor, 136 nt
Filed under: Hordeum vulgare
Lineage: Eukaryota; Viridiplantae; Streptophyta; Magnoliopsida; Poales; Poaceae
Description: microRNA MIR1122
Rfam family: MIR1120/MIR1122 microRNA precursor family
Source: RNAcentral
CAUAUACUUUCUUCAUCUCAAAAUUCUUGUCUUAAAUUCGUUUAGAUAUGAAUGUAUCUACUCAAGUUUUAGUAUUUAGAUAUAUUCAUUUAUAGACAAAGUUAAGACAAAAAAUUUAGGACGAAGGAAGUACAUG